GCCCAGCCUCAGGCCUUGGCUCUACCGGCUGUAACCUCCACUCUGGGGUCCUCUGGAGGAGAGAAGGGCUACCACCAGGAGCCACAGUGAUCUCCAUACAGACUUCCACACUGGGCCUGCACCCUCCGCUCUGGGGCUCCCGGAGGCAGAGACCCGCAGAGGUACGGACCACAGGAUGUCCCUCCUCUCCCUGGCCAUGAGCAGAGUGCAUGGGCUGCUGCCUGCCCCUGGUACUGGCCUGUCUGUCCUGCCAGUGCUCCACACUGAUCCUGGGCCUGUUGGAGGCCUGCUCCUCCUGCCUCCACACCUUCAGCUCCUCCUGCUUCCGCUGCUGUUCCUGCUGCUGUGCUGCCCUCCAGGAAGCACCCGUGUAAGGACUUACACUGCCAUGCCCACUGCCACCAGAUCCUGUUCGAGUCCUGCUGCGAGCCCACCG
Oncorhynchus tshawytscha (Chinook salmon) is the source of this 436-nucleotide long non-coding RNA. The record is from Ensembl. NCBI's taxonomy places the organism in Eukaryota, Metazoa, Chordata, Actinopteri, Salmoniformes, Salmonidae.